RNAcentral lists this long non-coding RNA (845 nucleotides) under Elaeis guineensis (African oil palm). RNAcentral's name for it is "long non-coding RNA (EGUI_LNC071304)". Lineage: Eukaryota; Viridiplantae; Streptophyta; Magnoliopsida; Arecales; Arecaceae. The record is from RNAcentral.
GUUCGGCUGCUGCUCCAACCCUCCCACUCGAUUGGGCUCUUGAGGAUCGAAAAAAAUAGAGGAAAAAUUCGGGGGAAAUAUGGGAAAAGUCCACGCAAACAAGGAAAGAGGGGCAAGACCUUUUCACUGAUCUUUUAUUUUUUUUUCACUUCUUUGCCUUUUCACUUCAUUCUCUUUUUUGGAGAUCUGUGCGGAAGGAGGGCACCUAAGGGACAUCGGAGGGGUUUUUUAGGUUCUGGUUGGGAUUUUUUCUCAAGCAUACGUGAUUUUGUGCUAGUUGUGGCGGUUUUAAGAGCUUAAUCUGAUAUUUUGUAGGGUUUGAGAAUUUUUGAUCAGAAGGAUUCUUCUUUGGCUCCAAAAAAAUUCGUCAAUUUCAUAAUGGGUUUGGGACGGAUUCAGAUAGUAAGAUUUUAAACGGAUUCGGAUACGGAUCGAGCAAAUUUUGCGGGUAUCCUACCCGUUGACGUCUCCUUAUCAAACAAAGCAUGGAGAAGUCUCGGCGCAGUUUAUAGUCUCCGUCUCCCGAACAAGCCAGAGAGAAAGAACGGAAAAGAAGCCUAGGAGUAAUGGCAGCGGCACUCUCCGAGACCUGGAAAGCGAUCGAUGUUUCGGAGAGGUAAUCGACUCGUUAUUUCACUUCAAUUCCGUGAUUUCGAUUCUCCUUUUUCUCUCUCUUUUGAUUGUUGUUGCGGAAUUAGUUCCUCCUCGAUCUUCCUAUUCCGUUCUCUUUCCAGCAAUUGACGAGCGUUGACGUGUACCUUUUGAAGGUUGUAGGUUUCUUUAUCCUUUAAAGACAAAAUUGUUUGCUAUAGGUUUGGUGUUGGAAGGAAUUAUGAUUGUGUUAG